CUGGCGGCGUGCCUAACACAUGCAAGUCGAACGAGUAAUGAUUCGUUGUUAACUUAGUGGCGAACGGGUGAGUAACGCGUGAACAACCUGACCCAAAGAGGGGGAGUAACAUUUGGAAACAGAUGCUAAUACCGCAUAAGACCACAACGUCACAUGGCGAAGGGGUCAAAGGAGCAAUCCGCUUUGGGAGGGGUUCGCGUCCCAUUAGGUAGAUGGCGGGGUAACGGUCCACCAUGCCAACGAUGGGUAGCCGAGCUGAGAGGCUGAUCGGCCACACUGGAACUGAGACACGGUCCAGACUCCUACGGGAGGCAGCAGUGGGGAAUAUUGCGCAAUGGGGGAAACCCUGACGCAGCGACGCCGCCGUGAGCGAAGAAGGCCUUCGGGUUGUAAAGCUCUGUUGUAAGGGACGAAUGUCUAGGGUAGUAACUGACCUUAGAAUGACGGUACCUUACCAGCAAGCCCCGGCUAACUACGUGCCAGCCGCAGC
Molecule: ribosomal RNA, 490 nt
Filed under: uncultured bacterium
Lineage: Bacteria
Description: bacterial SSU rRNA
Rfam family: Bacterial small subunit ribosomal RNA
Source: RNAcentral